GUAACGUUGAAGACGACGACGUUGAUAGGCCGGGUGUGUAAGCGCAGCGAUGCGUUGAGCUAACCGGUACUAAUGAACCGUGAGGCUUAACCUUAC
This 96-nucleotide ribosomal RNA is filed under the name Escherichia coli O55:H7 str. USDA 5905. RNAcentral describes it as "partial 23S ribosomal RNA". It matches the Rfam family "Bacterial large subunit ribosomal RNA", at positions 2833 to 2925 of the family's 2925-position model. Lineage: Bacteria; Pseudomonadati; Pseudomonadota; Gammaproteobacteria; Enterobacterales; Enterobacteriaceae. The record is from RNAcentral.